GUGGGGAAUAUUGGGCAAUGGGGGAAACCCUGACCCAGCAACGCCGCGUGAAGGAAGAAGGCUUUCGGGUUGUAAACUUCUUUGACGAGGGAAGAUAAUGACUGUACCUCGAAAACAAGCCACGGCUAACUACGUGCCAGCAGCCGCGGUAAUACGUAGGUGGCAAGCGUUGUCCGGAUUUACUGGGUGUAAAGGGCGCGUAGGCGGGAUGGCAAGUCAGAUGUGAAAUACCGAGGCUCAACCUCGGGGCUGCAUUUGAAACUGCUGUUCUUGAGUGAUGGAGAGGCAGGCGGAAUUCCUAGUGUAGCGGUGAAAUGCGUAGAUAUUAGGAAGAACACCAGUGGCGAAGGCGGCUUUCUGGACGAAAACUGACGCUGAGGCGCGAAAGCCAGGGGAGCAAACGGGAUUAGAAACCCCAGUAGUCC
RNAcentral lists this ribosomal RNA (425 nucleotides) under uncultured bacterium. RNAcentral's name for it is "partial 16S ribosomal RNA". It matches the Rfam family "Bacterial small subunit ribosomal RNA", at positions 354 to 796 of the family's 1533-position model. The record is from RNAcentral.